AUUGAACGCUGGCGGCAUGCCUUACACAUGCAAGUCGAACGGUAACAGGGAGCUUGCUCCGCUGACGAGUGGCGAACGGGUGAGUAAUGUAUCGGAACGUACCAUUCAGUGGGGGAUAACGUAGCGAAAGUUACGCUAAUACCGCAUAUUCUGUGAGCAGGAAAGCAGGGGAUCGCAAGACCUUGCGCUGAUUGAGCGGCCGAUAUCAGAUUAGCUAGUUGGUGAGGUAAAGGCUCACCAAGGCGACGAUCUGUAGCUGGUCUGAGAGGACGACCAGCCACACUGGAACUGAGACACGGUCCAGACUCCUACGGGAGGCAGCAGUGGGGAAUUUUGGACAAUGGGGGCAACCCUGAUCCAGCCAUUCCGCGUGAGUGAAGAAGGCCUCGGUUGUAAGACUCUUCUAGCAGGAACGAAACGGUAGGCCGACCUAAUAACUGGCUACUAAUAGACGGUACCUCGAAGAAGAAGACACCGGCGUAACUACGUAGCCACG
This 496-nucleotide ribosomal RNA is filed under the name uncultured bacterium. Its description in RNAcentral is "bacterial SSU rRNA". It matches the Rfam family "Bacterial small subunit ribosomal RNA", at positions 30 to 525 of the family's 1533-position model. The record is from RNAcentral.